This 76-nucleotide transfer RNA is filed under the name Coriobacteriaceae bacterium. RNAcentral's name for it is "tRNA-Thr". It matches the Rfam family "tRNA". Rfam says of the family: Transfer RNA (tRNA) molecules are approximately 80 nucleotides in length. Their secondary structure includes four short double-helical elements and three loops (D, anti-codon, and T loops). Lineage: Bacteria; Bacillati; Actinomycetota; Coriobacteriia; Coriobacteriales; Coriobacteriaceae. RNAcentral also lists the same sequence under 4 other names. The record is from RNAcentral.
GCUGAUGUAGCUCCAACGGCAGAGCACCCGACUUGUAAUCGGACGGUUGUCGGUUCGAAUCCGACCAUCAGCUCCA